AAACAACAGAAUACUAGACCGGGAGUUUUUUUUUAAACUUGUAGCAUAAUAAUUAGGAAAAAUAUGCUUGCAAUUGCACAAAGCAAACUCCAACAUGCAGGUCAGCACUGAUCAUUGCAACACCACCACUCAACUCCCCACACCCUCCACUCAGCUCGGUACUAGGCCUUGAGAAUUUAGAUCCGUAGGUUCACGUUACAACCCACAAAUAAGAGAUUUAAAUGUUGAAGUUUAGGGACCUGACCGAUAUUGGCCAAGAGAAUCCCUGUUGAAAAUUUUGAUGGCCAGGUUUUGAUAGGACACACAUUGCCUUAAAUCAAACACCUUACUUUCUAUAGCAGACAUACAAAGGGGACGGAAAAAAAGGUCGCAAAUUGCAACCCCUCAUGACUAAAUUUAAUAGAAGUUUGAGCACACAUCUGUCAUUGGCUUUUGCCUUGCAACCCACCAUACAUGUCGUUUCCUCUUCAUGCAUAAGCUAACUAGCCCUCCACAUGCUCUGCCCCAGCCAAUCAAUGCAGCGUGCUCUGCUCGUACGUGGCCGCAUGGGAGCGCUGCUCCCCGGCUUCGGACAAUCUCUCGCUGCCGUCGCCGCGCCAACAAUUUGCUGCCGCCGCCUCCGACCUGAACAUACAUACACAUUUUUUUUGAAAAGGAGGUUAAGACCCGGGCCUCUGCAUCAAUCGAUGCAUACAGCCAUUUUUAUUUAUUAUUCAACAUAAGUCUAACAAAAGCAUACAUUAAACCAUCCGAAGCCACCACUCACAUCUACAAAACUUGAUAAUAUGGAUUGCUCUCACUCCCCAUAUCUAAACCUUGUGCCGUCGCCGAUCCAUCCACAUAACACAUCGGAAC
RNAcentral lists this long non-coding RNA (855 nucleotides) under Triticum aestivum (bread wheat). RNAcentral's name for it is "long non-coding RNA (TAES_LNC012506)". The record is from RNAcentral. Lineage: Eukaryota; Viridiplantae; Streptophyta; Magnoliopsida; Poales; Poaceae.